Molecule: ribosomal RNA, 546 nt
Filed under: uncultured Bifidobacterium sp.
Lineage: Bacteria; Bacillati; Actinomycetota; Actinomycetes; Bifidobacteriales; Bifidobacteriaceae
Description: bacterial SSU rRNA
Rfam family: Bacterial small subunit ribosomal RNA
Source: RNAcentral
CUCCUGGAACGGGUGGCAAUGCCGGAUGCUCCGCCCCCUCGCAUGGGGGUCGGGAAGGCUUUUGCGGAAUGGGAUGGGGUCGCGUCCUAUCAGCUUGUUGGCGGGGCGACGGCCCACCAAGGCUUCGACGGGUAGCCGGCCUGAGAGGGCGACCGGCCACAUUGGGACUGAGAUACGGCCCAGACUCCUACGGGAGGCAGCAGUGGGGAAUAUUGCACAAUGGGGGGAACCCUGAUGCAGCGACGCCGCGUGCGGGAUGGAGGCCUUCGGGUCGUGAACCGCUUUUGAUUGGGAGCAAGCGUGAGUGAGUGUACCCUUCGAAUAAGCACCGGCUAACUACGUGCCAGCAGCCGCGGUAAUACGUAGGGUGCAAGCGUUGUCCGGAAUCAUUGGGCGUAAAGGGCUCGUAGGCGGUUCGUCGCGUCCGGUGUGAAAGCCCAUCGCUUAACGGUGGGUCUGCGCCGGGUACGGGCGGGCUUGAGUGCGGCAGGGGAGGCUGGAAUUCCCGGUGUAACGGUGGAAUGUGUAGAUAUCGGGAAGAACACC